Non-coding RNA from Mogibacterium pumilum, 218 nucleotides. The record is from Rfam. Lineage: Bacteria; Bacillati; Bacillota; Clostridia; Peptostreptococcales; Anaerovoracaceae.
CCAUGAUUGAUUGACACUAGUUAAUAUAGAUAAUAUAAUAUUUAGGUGCUCUUAGGCAGCUUGCGGUUUGUAGGGGGUCCUGCGCAAUGGGAUACUGUGAACCAUGUCAGGUCCGAGAGGAAGCAGCAUUAAGCGGGACAUCUCAUGUGCCGCAGAUUCGCCUCCUACCGGCCGCAAGGUGUCUAAGAGCUAAAUUUCUAUAUGGACCCAAACCAUGG